RNAcentral lists this ribosomal RNA (253 nucleotides) under uncultured bacterium. RNAcentral's name for it is "partial 16S ribosomal RNA". It matches the Rfam family "Bacterial small subunit ribosomal RNA", at positions 524 to 776 of the family's 1533-position model. The record is from RNAcentral.
UACGUAGGGUGCAAGCGUUGUCCGGAAUUAUUGGGCGUAAAGAGCUCGUAGGCGGUUUGUCGCGUCUGCUGUGAAAACUCGGGGCUUAACUCCGGGCCUGCAGUGGGUACGGGCAGACUAGAGUGCGGUAGGGGAGAGUGGAAUUCCUGGUGUAGCGGUGAAAUGCGCAGAUAUCAGGAGGAACACCGGUGGCGAAGGCGGGUCUCUGGGCCGUAACUGACGCUGAGGAGCGAAAGCGUGGGGAGCGAACAGG